This is a long non-coding RNA of Salvelinus namaycush (lake trout), 2549 nucleotides long. RefSeq lists it as uncharacterized. The record is from RefSeq and is a predicted model, not a curated record. The transcript has 6 exons. NCBI's taxonomy places the organism in Eukaryota, Metazoa, Chordata, Actinopteri, Salmoniformes, Salmonidae.
CCUCCACUCGUUACCUGUAUGAAUGGCACCUGUUUGAACUUGUUAUCAGUAUAAAAGACACCUGUCCACAACCUCAAACAUAGGCCCUUAGGGCUCUCACCUGCAACAGAAGAGCCCUAAGGACAUCGCUGUGUCCAGCUGCUGCCUACCCUCUGCACUCACCUGGAGAACUGCCACAAUCACUUCCAGGUACUUUCUGUCUCGGCACACAUUUAGCUCAUUGUUGUAGUCCCCCUUUGUGACUGUCUUUCCUGCUGUGUGCAGACUCUGCUGUCUAAAAACCAGGGGGUGGUGGACUCCCCAGGUCUUGAUGUGAAGGAACACCAGCUGCUGUCCUCAGCCUACCAGCUCCUCCUACAGGUCCUACACACCACCUUCAGCUGGUCAGUCACACUUUAACACAACACCACCUGCACACUCCUGCCUUUCAGGAAAAUAUCAUCACAGGGCCGCACCUUCCAGGAAAUGACAAUUACUCAGGGUUUGGCAACUGUGGUCCUGGAGAGGUUGGUGUUGGCUUCUUUUGUUUCAGCCCAGCUCUAACACACCUGAUUCAACAAAUGGGAAUCAGGUGUGUUAGUGAUCUGCAACAAAAGCCUGCAACUAUUGUGUGUUAGGUCUGGUUUUUCCCAACCAGAGCACCAUGGCCUGCUGAAGAAAGCUUUGGGACUGCUGGCUGACCGUCUGAAAGAGGGAGGUCCUGAACUGACCUUGGACCAGCGCAUCAAUUGAGAGGUGAAACAUUCCCUAUCAGAUCACAGCCAGUGUUGUGUGUGUGUGACAAGUAUGGUGAAGCGGUUCUCCCCUAUCUCUCUGGUCUUCAGACACAGCUUUAAGUACCUGCUGAACUUCCACAGUGCCCAGCCUCAGCAUAGCUCUGUGUCUCUCCCAGCUGCUCACCACGGUGGCUGAGAGAGGGCACCAGGCUACAAACAGGGAGCAGACUGCAACUAGCCCGGCAGUUCCUGUGCCAGGAGUGGGUGACUUCGAGCGGAGACAGAGAGAACCAAAGGGGACCCAAAGACAACGGGACUCUCCUCAGGGGAUGAUGGGAGAGCUUGAGAAGGCUGUGAGGAAGAUUCACCCUGUCAGGCACAGUGACAGCACUGAGGUGAAGUGAGAAGCUGCUGUCAUGGAACCUGGCUGUCAGACUUCCACAUCCUGGUCAACGUGGUCAAAGUACUGAGUCUGUUUGCACUAGGAGCUUGUCAUGAGUGGGUUAACCCUUAUUCAAACACAUGAUGGGUCUAGUAUGUGUAAUGGUUGUUCAGUUCCCAAUGGAAGAUGUAUUGCUGGAAAUAGCAUUUAAAUGACUGUGCCCACGCCAAAUGAGAAGCAUGUAAACAUGUAUUCCCCCGGGUGUUCUGCCUCUCCAACACACACUCUGGCUGGAGGGAGAUCAAGCCAUCUGUCAUGCUCUACUGGCUCCAGUGCAGUUGUGUUUGUUUGUGUGUGUGCAUGUGGAUGGGCUCUCUGCUGGCUGGGUUUGGGUGUUGAGAAGCUAGAGGUAGUCUGUGUAUUGUGUCACCUCCAUCUUCUCCUUGCCAGGUGUUUGACAACAGACCCGUGCUCAAUGUGUGCCUGAAGGGUGAGGAGAUCCUCUCAAUGCUCAAAGGGGUUAUGAAGAGGAGUAAGGCUCCCUGCUGCCUCAGGCGCAGUCAGAAGAUGAGGCCCAGGAGAGUGACACUGAGGAGAGGAAGAAUGGCAACAGGAAGGAAGAGGGGGAUAACGAUGAAAUUGCAGAUGACUUGGAUAAUUAGGACAGACAAUGUGUAUGAAUACUGUCGACUCUGUGAACUCUUGACCUUUUGUGUCAACAAACUAACCUUGCAUAUCCCUUUGCCCCCUCAGAUAGGAAUAGGUCAGGGAGAACCAAGAGAGGAUUCCUAGUGCAUUGCUGCCAUUGAGAAAAUGGACAAUUAGGAGAUUACUGUGGAAGGAGGGGUCACUAUGUUAGUGGAUGUUCAAAACACUGCAAACAGCAUUAGAGUGCUGCAUUUUUUUUUUUAAACACUAAUGUCUGAGGCUGAGAAAGGGUAUCUUAUGAAAUUAUGACGUUUCGGAAAGCUGUUGAAUGCAGAAAAGUUAGAUUUACUUUGAAGAUACAGUAUGUUGCAAUGAAAUACUUCAACUGUAAAUAUUAUUAUUCAUGUAUAAGACUCUCUUUAAAUAUUUUACAGAUUCUCUUUAACAUAUUUAAUCAAGUUUUGCAUGUUUUAAAGUAACUGCGUAGUUAAAAUCUCACUUUUAAAAGUUAACAUUCUGUUAACUCAUAUCCAAAUGUUGUUGACUCGUCAUAUACUCGUAUUUGUGGCCAAAGCAUCAAUUGGAGAAGAAACACUUUAAAAAACAACACCUCAAACAGACCGUUUAAAAAAAAUGCAUGUUAUUUCCUCAUAGAAUAUGUCAUCUCCCUUAGGAUGAGCUGGCCAAUCAGCACUCUACUAAUAUUUUUUUUAUGACUGGUACGGUAUACCAGCCUGGUAACAUAGUAAACGUAAAUCCGGAAUGCUCCAAUUAGUAUGAUAUGUUACGUUUGGUAUGGUUAA